AACGCGAAGAACCUUACCUGGGCUUGACAUGCAGAGGAAAUGCUCUCGAAAGUGAGCACCUCCCGCAAGGGAUCUCUGUGCAGGUGGUGCAUGGCUGUCGUCAGCUCGUGUCGUGAGAUGUUGGGUUAAGUCCCGCAACGAGCGCAACCCUUAUCGUUAGUUGCCAGCGAGUCAAGUCUGGCACUCUAGCGAAACCGCCCCGGAUAACGGGGAGGAAGGUGGGGAUGACGUCAAGUCCUCAUGGCCUUUAUGUCCAGGGCUACACACGUGCUACAAUGGACGGUACAAAGGGCUGCCGACCCGCAAGGGGGAGCCAAUCCCAAAAAACCGUUCUCAGUUCGGAUUGCAGGCUGCAACUCGCCUGCAUGAAGCUGGAAUCGCUAGUAAUGGCGGAUCAGAACGCCGCCGUGAAUACGUUCCCGGGCCUUGUACACACCGAUAGC
Molecule: ribosomal RNA, 443 nt
Filed under: uncultured bacterium
Lineage: Bacteria
Description: bacterial SSU rRNA
Rfam family: Bacterial small subunit ribosomal RNA
Source: RNAcentral